CCCAAUCAAAUAAUAAAACCAAAAUAUUAAUAAGUCCAAUGUUCAAGUCCAAAUUACAAGAUAAAACAGCAUGCUUAAAAAACCUAAUAGGCCAAUUAAAACCCAAUUACCAGCCCAAAACUUAAAAAACUAACCCUAGCCUACUAACCCAUAACAUGUUCAGAAAACAAAAUACCCUAGCCAAUGCCUUUAGCUGUCGUUCCUCCCACGCACGCCGCACGCCAGCCAUCACUCCACGUUUUGUCUGACACCACCUGCAACAUGCAAGCAAAAGAGGACAAGCAAAAGAAACAACAUGCAAAAAGAUAAAAAAAAAUAAUAGCUAAUAGUUUUAUGAAUCGGCUAUAAAAGCCUUAUUAUAAUUUUUUUACGAAGGCACACAAACAAACAUUAGAAAUAAAAACAAAAAAAAAGCAUUAAAGGUGAUUUUACUUCCACUCUCGUUUUAAGUUUUGAUUUUUUUUUUAUUUUUAUACGAAAAUAAUAAAAAGAAAAAGAGAGGAGACUUACUAGUGGUCGAUCUUCCGACUCCGCUAGUGACCGAGGCCGUCAUCACCGAUGAACGGUGACCUCUUUUUUAUGUCGAGAAGUGCUUGAAACCCUAGAAGCGAAGGGUUUUCUUUUUCCUUCUUUUGGCGAGUGAAGCCAUUUCCUUGAACAAUCUACUCCAAAUCGAAGUUUAGGGGGUCAAAAAUACGAAAAACCCCUUUUUUUGAAAAAAACUCCAGCCACCGUACACGGUGGUCACCGUUGUCGUCGGCCGACGGCCACGUUGGACGGAUGGUGGCCUAGUGGCCGGAUAAGGAGAGCAUCGGGAGGGGUUGAGAGAAUUUCAAGUUUUUUUAAGAAAAGGGAGGGC
RNAcentral lists this long non-coding RNA (859 nucleotides) under Gossypium barbadense (sea-island cotton). Its description in RNAcentral is "long non-coding RNA (GBAR_LNC010310)". The record is from RNAcentral. Lineage: Eukaryota; Viridiplantae; Streptophyta; Magnoliopsida; Malvales; Malvaceae.